GACGAACGCUGGCGGCGUGCUUAACACAUGCAAGUCGAACGGAAAGGCCCGGCGUUUGUGGGGUGCUCGAGUGGCGAACGGGUGAGUAACACGUGAGUAACCUGCACCUGACUGUGGGAUAACUUUAGGAAACUGGGGCGAAUACCGCAUAGGAGCUCCUGCUGCACGGUGGUGGUUGGAAAGUUUCGGCGGUUGGGGAUGGAUUCGAGGGUUAUGAGCUGCAUGGUGGGGUAGUGGCGUACAAAGGCUGUGACGGGUAGCCCGCGUGAGAGGGUGACCGGGCACCUUGGGCCUGCGAUACGGCGCAGACUCCUACCGGCGGCAGUAGUCGGGAGCCUUGCAGAGUGGGCCGACGCGUGAUGCAGAAACCUCGCGUGCGGGAUACCGGGCUUCGGGUUGUAAACCGCUUUGGAAUGUGCUGAAGCCUGCGUGACGGUAAUGGGUAAAGAAGCCCCGGCUAACUACGUG
RNAcentral lists this ribosomal RNA (468 nucleotides) under uncultured bacterium. RNAcentral describes it as "partial 16S ribosomal RNA". It matches the Rfam family "Bacterial small subunit ribosomal RNA", at positions 28 to 507 of the family's 1533-position model. The record is from RNAcentral.